UACGUAGGGUGCGAGCGUUGUCCGGAAUUACUGGGCGUAAAGAGCUCGUAGGUGGUUUGUCGCGUCGUCUGUGAAAUUCCGGGGCUUAACUUCGGGCGUGCAGGCGAUACGGGCAAUACUUGAGUGCUGUAGGGGAGACUGGAAUUCCUGGUGUAGCGGUGGAAUGCGCAGAUAUCAGGAGGAAUACCGAUGGCGAAGGCAGGUCUCUGGGCAGUAACUGACGCUGAGGAGCGAAAGCAUGGGUAGCGAACAGGAUUAGA
Molecule: ribosomal RNA, 260 nt
Filed under: uncultured prokaryote
Description: partial 16S ribosomal RNA
Rfam family: Bacterial small subunit ribosomal RNA
Source: RNAcentral